GAACUUUCAUAUUCAUCAGAAUCUUCUGGAGGCCUUGGUAACACACAGCUGCUGAACUCCACAUCCAGAGUUUCUGAUCCUGCUGGUAGAGAAGAGCCCCCAGAAUAUGCAUCUCUAACAAGUUCCCAGGUGAUGCUGGACCACCCUUUGAGAAACACUGCUCCAGAAGGUCAACUGAGGAAGUGAACUGAAGGGAUAGGGGACGGGGGAGUGUUUUCGGCAGAGGGAAGCACUGUGUGAAUGCCCAGAGUGGAGAUAGCACUGGGUCGAGCAAAUAUUCCUGGAACCGAAAGAUCUGAGGCAUGGCCAGAGGUUAGGGGGUAGGGAUAGAGUCACGCAGGGUGAGGCCAGUGACAGGUGGACACAAACCCUGGCCCUGCCAUCUGUGAUUCUGACUGAGAAAAAAUGACUCUAAGGGAGGAGACCACCCUUCAUAUCGUCUUAUGCCCAAUUUCUGCCUCCAAAGAAAGAAGAAGUAAAAACUAAAAGGCAGAAAUGAAAUCCACAGGCAGACAGCCCAGUGCCGCACCCUGGGCUUGGUAGUUAAAGAUUGGCCCCUGACCUAAUUGGUUCUGUUAUCUCUAGAUUACAGACAUUGUAUAGAAAUGCACUGUGAAACUCCAUAUCUUGUUUUGUUCCGAUCUAAUUACUGGUACAUGCAACCCCCAGUCAUGUACCCUCUGCUUGCUCAAUGAAUCGCGACCCUCUCACAUGCAUGACCUUAGAGUUGUGAGCCCUUCAAAGGGACAGGAAUUGCUCACUCAAGGACCUUGGCUCUUGAGACAGAAGUCUUGCCUAUGCUCCCAGCUGAAUAAACCCCUUCCUUCUUUAACUCGGUGUCUGAGGAGUUUUGUCUACCGCCUGUCCUGCUACAACUCCACAAAGCAAAAGAGCCUGCUCCUCUUCACAAGGAUUGGCCACAGCAGUAUUGUCCAAUCAGUAGGUUUCUUAACUCUCAGAUUAUGAAAAAUCCAGGCUGACUUAUUAUUAAAAAGUAAUAACAGUCUAUGCAGGGUUAACAUUUUAUAGCUUUCAUGACACUUUUGCAAGUGUUAUCUCAUCCAAUUCUUAAAGAAAUCCUGGAAUGCAAGAAGGCCUGGCACUCCUACCUUUGUUUUGCCAGGUCUAGAACCCCAUUAUCAGUCUUCUGGUCUGGUCAUCUUCUACUAUAGCUCAUUACCCUCCCACGUUUACUUCAACCCACAAAUGGAAAAGUCCAGUCCUCUAGAAAAUUCUCAUCAAAGUGCUGAGAAAAAUACAGAAGAAACCAGCUCUCUACAUAGGUGGUAACAUACACACCUGCCCAUAGCAUUUAUACAUGUGUCACUGGGGACUAUUCCAGAAGGCCCUGGCUAUGUUUAGACAACUAUUUGACUCCCCAGAAAUUCAAUCUUAAGGCCAAGCAUGAUGGCUCAUGCCUAUAAUCCCAGUACCUUGGGAGGCCAGGAGAGAAGGAUUGCCUAAUGUCAGGAGUUCAAGACUAGCCUGAGCAACAU
This 1496-nucleotide long non-coding RNA is filed under the name Macaca fascicularis (crab-eating macaque). RNAcentral describes it as "lncRNA (ENSMFAG00000051343.1)". Lineage: Eukaryota; Metazoa; Chordata; Mammalia; Primates; Cercopithecidae. The record is from RNAcentral.